CGGGGUGAGUAAUGCUUGGGAAUCUAGCUUAUGGAGGGGGAUAACUACGGGAAACUGUAGCUAAUACCGCGUAGAAUCGAGGGAUGAAAGUGUGGGACCUUCGGGCCACAUGCCAUAGGAUGAGCCCAAGUGGGAUUAGGUAGUUGGUGAGGUAAAGGCUCACCAAGCCGACGAUCUCUAGCUGGUCUGAGAGGAUGACCAGCCACACUGGGACUGAGACACGGCCCAG
RNAcentral lists this ribosomal RNA (229 nucleotides) under uncultured bacterium. RNAcentral's name for it is "partial 16S ribosomal RNA". It matches the Rfam family "Bacterial small subunit ribosomal RNA", at positions 104 to 334 of the family's 1533-position model. The record is from RNAcentral.